This 497-nucleotide ribosomal RNA is filed under the name uncultured bacterium. RNAcentral describes it as "bacterial SSU rRNA". It matches the Rfam family "Bacterial small subunit ribosomal RNA", at positions 899 to 1397 of the family's 1533-position model. The record is from RNAcentral.
ACUCAAAGGAAUUGACGGGGGCCCGCACAAGCGGUGGAGCAUGUGGUUUAAUUCGACGCAACGCGAAGAACCUUACCAAGAUUUGACAUCCCUCUGACCGGAUCUUAAUCGAUCCUUAUCUUCGGAACAGAGGAGACAGGUGGUGCAUGGUUGUCGUCAGCUCGUGUCGUGAGAUGUUGGGUUAAGUCCCGCAACGAGCGCAACCCUUACAUCUAGUUGCCAUCAUUAAGUUGGGCACUCUAGAAGGACUGCCGGUGACAAACCGGAGGAAGGUGGGGAUGACGUCAAAUCAUCAUGCCCCUUAUGUCUUGGGCUACACACGUGCUACAAUGGGCAGUACAAAGGGCAGCGAAGCCGCGAGGUGAAGCAAAUCCCAUAAAGCUGUUCUCAGUUCGGAUUGCAGGCUGCAACUCGCCUGCAUGAAGUCGGAAUCGCUAGUAAUCGCAGGUCAGCAUACUGCGGUGAAUACGUUCCCGGGCCUUGUACACACCGCCCGU